AUGAAGGUCCUGCCCUGGUCCCUGAUUGGUCCAUUUCUAUGCAAAUGAGGAAUCCAUAUUUGCAGUCUGAUUGGUCCCAAAAGCACUGUCCUGAUUGGUGGAUAUUGUGCAUUCUGAUCGGUUGCUAUGGAGCUGCUCCUCUUGGUUAGUAAAGAUGCAAAUGAGGCUAUAGCUCUGCAGCUCUCAUUGGAUGGGGCAGAUGUCAGCCCAUUGGUUGAAACAGGAUUCCAGGAACUCCCUUAAAAGCCGGGCUCAGCUGGCAGGAGCACAGAGCAGGAGGCUGGCAGCUCUGUCUGGCUUUUCCCUGAAAUGCAUCCUGCAUCCAAGGCGUCUGCAAAGAGUGACUGCUAGAUUCUGGUUUUGAAUGAAUUUGGGCCCCACGAACCACAAGGGGUCCUCCUGGGCAGCCACCCGAGCUGCUACAGGUAUGAACAAGCUUUAAAUAUGGACCCUGGCCAGCUAACGAUGCUCGUCUGUGGAGACAGCCACACAGGCACGUCCUUUUGCCAGUCCGGCAAGCGACACCGCUCCACGCUCCUCUCUCUGCCAAAUGACAGAAAAACGGUAACACCCGAUAGAGACGCGACUGAGCUCUCGGGUGAGGAACGCCGCCCCCCUGCACCCGGACCCCCUGCACCUGGACCGGACCAGCCCAGCUGCCGGACCCCAGAGGACAGCACCACAAGGAUCCCUAACUAAGCUUGUACCCACAGCUCAGGAAUUUGUGUGAGUAAUAAAAAAGCUGUGUGAUUUGCAAC
Myotis davidii is the source of this 758-nucleotide long non-coding RNA. RefSeq lists it as uncharacterized. The record is from RefSeq and is a predicted model, not a curated record. The transcript is spliced from 2 exons. Lineage: Eukaryota; Metazoa; Chordata; Mammalia; Chiroptera; Vespertilionidae.